This 387-nucleotide long non-coding RNA is filed under the name Eucalyptus grandis. Its description in RNAcentral is "long non-coding RNA (EGRA_LNC005876)". The record is from RNAcentral. Lineage: Eukaryota; Viridiplantae; Streptophyta; Magnoliopsida; Myrtales; Myrtaceae.
CCAAAAACACUUGCUCAGACACCAUCAAAUCCUUCGCAAAGUCUUUUUCUUACAAAAAAACAAACGAAAGCAACAAUGAAGCACCAGUUCAUUGUUCUGGCUCUCUUAUUCCUCAUCAACACAGCCCCGACCUCAGCUCAGCCAGCAGCCUCCCCAACAGCCCCAAUGGUCUUGCCGCCGCCACCCGUGUCCCUGGCACCCGUGUCCCCGGCGCCGGAUUCCCCUCCCCCGCCAGCGCCACCCCAAGCCCACCUCUUGAAGAUCCUCCAGAAGGCGGGUGGCUUCACCGUCCUGAUCAAGCUCCUCCGCGGCACCCACGUGUCCGACCAGGUGGACUCGGAGCUCUCCGACCUCAACGACGGCAUCACCUUCUUCGCGCCGGACGAU